RNAcentral lists this ribosomal RNA (496 nucleotides) under uncultured bacterium. Its description in RNAcentral is "partial 16S ribosomal RNA". It matches the Rfam family "Bacterial small subunit ribosomal RNA", at positions 28 to 506 of the family's 1533-position model. The record is from RNAcentral.
GAUGAACGCUGGCGGCGUGCCUAAUACAUGCAAGUCGAGCGAACGGACGAGAAGCUUGCUUCUCUGAUGUUAGCGGCGGACGGGUGAGUAACACGUGGAUAACCUACCUAUAAGACUGGGAUAACUUCGGGAAACCGGAGCUAAUACCGGAUAAUCUUUUGAACCGCAUGGUUCAAAAGUGAAAGACGGUCUUGCUGUCACUUAUAGAUGGAUCCGCGCUGCAUUAGCUAGUUGGUAAGGUAACGGCUUACCAAGGCAACGAUGCAUAGCCGACCUGAGAGGGUGAUCGGCCACACUGGAACUGAGACACGGUCCAGACUCCUACGGGAGGCAGCAGUAGGGAAGCUUCCGCAAUGGGCGAAAGCCUGACGGAGCAACGCCGCGUGAGUGAUGAAGGUCUUCGGAUCGUAAAACUCUGUUAAGAGGGAAGAACAUAUGUGUAAGUAACUGUGCACAUCUUGACGGUACCUAAUCAGAAAGCCACGGCUAACUACGU